Molecule: transfer RNA, 84 nt
Filed under: Dimargaris cristalligena
Lineage: Eukaryota; Fungi; Kickxellomycota; Dimargaritomycetes; Dimargaritales; Dimargaritaceae
Rfam family: tRNA
About the family: Transfer RNA (tRNA) molecules are approximately 80 nucleotides in length. Their secondary structure includes four short double-helical elements and three loops (D, anti-codon, and T loops).
Source: Rfam by way of RNAcentral
CCGAGAAUAGCUCAGUUGGUAGAGCGGGAGACUGUAGUUUAAUAUGAUAUCUCUAGGUCCCUGGUUCAAAUCCGGGUUCUCGGA